This 340-nucleotide ribosomal RNA is filed under the name Stenotrophomonas maltophilia. RNAcentral's name for it is "bacterial SSU rRNA". It matches the Rfam family "Bacterial small subunit ribosomal RNA", at positions 1194 to 1533 of the family's 1533-position model. Lineage: Bacteria; Pseudomonadati; Pseudomonadota; Gammaproteobacteria; Lysobacterales; Lysobacteraceae. The record is from RNAcentral.
CCAACCAGUCUUCGGCCAGGCUACACACGUACUACAAUGGUAGGGACAGAGGGCUGCAAGCCGGCGACGGUAAGCCAAUCCCAGAAACCCUAUCUCAGUCCGGAUUGGAGUCUGCAACUCGACUCCAUGAAGUCGGAAUCGCUAGUAAUCGCAGAUCAGCAUUGCUGCGGUGAAUACGUUCCCGGGCCUUGUACACACCGCCCGUCACACCAUGGGAGUUUGUUGCACCAGAAGCAGGUAGCUUAACCUUCGGGAGGGCGCUUGCCACGGUGUGGCCGAUGACUGGGGUGAAGUCGUAACUAGGUAUCCGUAUCGGAAGGAGAAAAAAAAAAAAAUAAUG